GCCGGGGGAGGGGGCGGCCCCGCGGCUGCCCCCGGGGGAAGGGGGGAGCCCUCCGCCCCCCCAGCUACGCAGCGAGUAACGAGCGGCGGCAGCCGCUGCCGCCGCGCUCUAAAGGGUUGUGGUUUUCUCUCUCCCUCCCUCCCCCUUUCCUGAGAUAAAAAUCUCAGGACAGCGGAGGCCGUAGCGUUGACGAGGCUAUUAAGAUGCUGUUUCUCAUCUCCGUGUGCACACUUGCUCCCAGUGCCACCUGAUCUCUCACCCGACCUUCACGUCGCAGGGAUACAGCUAUAUCCUAUCUGAAGAAAUCACCUUAUGGAACUUGGACAUGCUGACAGAGGACAGAGUCUGGCUGUGGGUCCAGUCCCUUCUUCUCCUCCAUGGUGUCCGGUCGGGAUCUGCUCCCUCGAGUCCUGGCACAGGUCGCUCCCCCUGCAGCCGAACCGCCUCUGCACCCACCAGGGCUCAGCCCAGUGCAUAGGAGUCAGCAGGGAAACGCAACCUUCACCUGCACCAAUUCUAAGGAAGCUGAUGAAAAAAAAAUCAGCAUAGCAGCCAACUGUUAUCAGGUUAAAUACGUGAUAAAACUAGACACGAGGACCCUUCCUCCCACAGCCUUCACACGCCGCCAAGGCACAGGGGAACCUGUGACCGUCUGUGACAAGCACUAUGCACAUUUGCAGGCAAUGAAUACCUGUUGUGACAAAAAAUACGAAAUAAAGCGAAUAAAAUUGCACGGGUUGUUAUUUCAACUUGGGAUAAUGACUCCACAAGCAUCUGCAGCCUGACAUAUCGCCUAGAUUAAUGUUGCUUUCAAGAACAUGGCUUGAUUUUUCCUUUAAACAUUUGUCUUCACCAACAAGCCCCUCACCUUAGUGCCGCAUAAUUGACUCUGUCUUGAAGCUACUAGAGCUUGUCACAGCGCUUUAAAUAUUGGGCCAGCCUCAGCUCUCGGGUAGCCAAGGGAAACUCCCGAGAAGCCGGCAGGGUUUCACCUCCUGGUGCCACGGAGGACUCUGGCGAGUGGAAGCCCAUCGCCUGCCAGCGUGCUGAGCGGCUCAGUGCUGCUGCCUCCAGCCCUGCUCAGCUGGGCUACCGGCAGCCUGGCGGUCCAAGCCCAAGCGCUCGCCUGCCCCGGCUGCUGGCGAGGGGAGAAGCGGGGAAGUCUCUUUGCCAUCCACUCCUUCUACGACACGAAACCAGGUAGCUCUUCACUGCCUUCAAAAGCAAUGGUCUGUCUUCCUUUUUAAAUGAAAUAUCUUAAUAAUAUCUGAAUUAAUAAUUUCACUAUAUUUUGUUGUCAAGUUCACUGGCCAAGGAGGCCAAGUGCAAUCAUUGUAUCAGGGAAGCUGUAUAUUCCCUUUCAACCACGCACCAACCUUCCUCCUAAGCAGGAGGAAACCAGAACCAACAAAAACUUAUUAGCUACAAACUAUGUUAUCACUUUCUCAAAAGAUACAGUUUUAAGCAUUAUUUAGAGCACGGAAAGGAAAAAAGAGAGGAAACUGUUUAAAGUCAACCACACAAAGGUAAGAUCUGUUCAGAUAAAUGUAUACGUGACUGCAGAAUACUCUUUGGUCUUCUUUCUAUCAAAUCUAAAAAAUUAUUUUUAAUUGAUUCUUGAAGCACUUUUUGAAGUUCAAUAAAUGCUUCAGAAAUCAGUUGGGAGUCCA
This is a long non-coding RNA of Apteryx rowi (Okarito brown kiwi), 1670 nucleotides long. The record is from Ensembl. Lineage: Eukaryota; Metazoa; Chordata; Aves; Apterygiformes; Apterygidae.